CCUACGGGAGGCAGCAGUCGAGAAUCAUUCACAAUGGGGGAAACCCUGAUGGUGCGACGCCGCGUGGGGGAAUGAAGGUCUUCGGAUUGUAAACCCCUGUCAUGUGGGAGCAAAUUAAAAAGAUAGUACCACAAGAGGAAGAGACGGCUAACUCUGUGCCAACAGCCGCGGUAAUACAGAGGUCUCAAGCGUUGUUCGGAAUCACUGGGCGUAAAGCGUGCGUAGGCUGUUUCGUAAGUCGUGUGUGAAAGGCGCGGGCUCAACCCGCGGACGGCACAUGAUACUGCGAGACUAGAGUAAUGGAGGGGGAACCGGAAUUCUCGGGGUAGCAGUGAAAUGCGGAGAUAUCGAGAGGAACACUAGUGGCGAAGGCGGGUUCCUGGACAUUAACUGACGCUGAGGCACGAAGGCCAGGGGAGCGAAAGGGAUUAGAUACCCCUGGUAGUC
RNAcentral lists this ribosomal RNA (447 nucleotides) under uncultured bacterium. RNAcentral's name for it is "partial 16S ribosomal RNA". It matches the Rfam family "Bacterial small subunit ribosomal RNA", at positions 338 to 795 of the family's 1533-position model. The record is from RNAcentral.